RNAcentral lists this ribosomal RNA (253 nucleotides) under uncultured bacterium. RNAcentral's name for it is "partial 16S ribosomal RNA". It matches the Rfam family "Bacterial small subunit ribosomal RNA", at positions 524 to 776 of the family's 1533-position model. The record is from RNAcentral.
UACAGAGGUGGCAAGCGUUGUUCGGAAUUACUGGGCGUAAAGGGCGCGUAGGCGGUCAGGUCAGUCCCGUGUGAAAUCCCUCGGCUCAACUGAGGAACUGCACGGGAAACUGCCUGGCUUGAGUUCGGGAGAGGGAAGCGGAAUUCCGGGUGUAGCGGUGAAAUGCGUAGAUAUCCGGAGGAACACCGGUGGCGAAGGCGGCUUCCUGGACCGACACUGACGCUGAGGCACGAAAGCGUGGGGAGCAAACAGG